This 6204-nucleotide long non-coding RNA is filed under the name Theobroma cacao (cacao). RNAcentral describes it as "long non-coding RNA (TCAC_LNC006135)". Lineage: Eukaryota; Viridiplantae; Streptophyta; Magnoliopsida; Malvales; Malvaceae. The record is from RNAcentral.
GCCACUGUUGCUGGCUACUUCAUCCCCAAAGGUAGUCACGUCUUGCUCAGUCGUUACGGCCUAGGCCGGAACCCCAAGGUUUGGGAUGACCCACUGAAGUUCAACCCUGAGCGCCAUUUGAAGGAUGGUUCCAUGUGCGUUGAUCUGACAGAGACAGACCUGAGGUUAAUUUCUUUCAGCACAGGAAGGCGCGGGUGCAUGGGCGUGGCUCUUGGGACUGCAAUGACCGUGAUGCUGUUGGCAAGGCUGCUCCAAGGUGUCACUUGGAGGGUUCCACCGAAUGAGGCAAACAUCGAUCUCUCUGAGGCAAAAGAUGAUCUCUUCAUGGCCAAACCUUUGCAUGCACUUGGUCAACCUCGAUUGCCUGCUCAUCUUUAUCCAGCUAAUUAAUCAGUCAUGGAAAAGCUUCAGUUAUGAAUAAAGUUGUCAUUGCUUCUUUAGAAAAUGAAUAAACCUGUAAUUAAUUUGAAUAUUUCUUGUUAUGAUGCUCUUUUUAUGAAUGUUGAUUUCAAUUUCUCAAUGUGUGCUUUGUGACUUUUGAAUUACAUUACUAGCUGCUGAAGUAUUUGGAAAAUGCCCUUUAAUUGUUUACUAGUGAUUUAUUUUUAUUUUUGAUAAUUCAAAUAAACUUUGUACUGUAAUUAAUUUAUAUUGAAUAGUAUGUAGUUUUAUUAUUAUUAUUUUGAAAAUCAAAUUUAACAUAUAUAUAUUUAUAAUUGAAAUAAAUACACAAUGCAAAUUUGAUUUGUUUCAAUACAGUGCUAGGUUAUUGGGUUUGACGAUGGAAAUUUGAUUUAAGGGGAGAGAUUAAUGGGAUUUAAGGAUGGGUUUAAUUUGAUUUGGGGAAUGACCCUUCUUUCGUUUUUUGUUUUCUUGGGUUGUUGAUAGUCUGGUAAUUUUGAGUUUUGACUUUAAACAAACAUAGUUAUUUUAUCAUUAUUCAAAUUAGAAAUAUAUAUAUUUAAUUAAAAUAAUAAAUUUGAUGUAAAAGAUGGGUUAAAUGUUUAAAAUAUAUAUAAAAAAAUAUUAUCAUAAGAUAAUUUGAUCAACGUCCAUGAUAGAUUUUCAUAUAAAAUAUGAUCUAAUACAUAUAAAAAUUCAUUAGGCAUGGAUUUGGAUCAUACGAAGGUGAGAAACUCUCUCUUACAUCGCAAAUUUCAAACCUCCUGUUAGUGGUAUAUGAAAGAAAAAAAAUUCAAUAGUUAUCACAUAAGAUUAAUGAUCCAAUCUCUAUGAUUUUUUGUAGUAGUUUUAUUUCAAAGAAAUAGACAAUUAAAUAAAUGAUCUUCUAUUGAAACAAAUUUUGAAAAAAAAGGGUGUUUCUUUUAAUAUAAAAAUAAGUUAUCAAAGUUUUACCAUUAAUUGUCAUAUAAAACUAAUAACUUGGUCUUUAUUUUUUUUUAUAAUAAUUUCCUUAGAAACAAGGAGAAUUUGAAUAAAAGACUUACUAUCGAGACAAAUUUCGAGAAAAUAAAUGUAAUAAUGAGAAAAUAAAAGAAGUGUAUUAAGGCGGUUUUAGUAUAAUCAUGGUUUCGAGAAAAUAAUAAAAAUACAUUUUCAAUCUUCGUGAUCAAUAUACCAGAUUUGUUAGGUUUGAUAAUCUAAUUGAUGCUAGGAGGGCUUGUUGUUUUUUUUAAUGGAGGAAGGGGUAUUCGAACCCUUGCUUUCUAGGUAAAAGAUUAUGCAUCAACUAAUAAGCCAAAUACUCAGGUACAAGAGGCUUGCUUGAUGAUGAACGAAGUCUGGAUUAUCAACCAAAAACUAAGUGUCAUUUUAGCCCAAUAUGGUGACAAAGAUACCUAUUGGAGGAGAAGACAACCAAUGAUGAUGGGAAGAAUACCCCAAAUGGAAGGAACCAACGAUCAAACCAUGGAACAAACUUCUGAUGAGCGAAGAGGAGGACAAGGACAAUCCUACUCUCAAGUAAUAAGAAGAGUAAAGGAAACCCAAGAGUAGUCAAUUUCAAAGAAUGGAAAAAAAGGACAAGAUGUAGGGAGAUAUUGAGUGUGGAGUAAUUAAAUCAUUUGAAUUGCCUUGAAAAAAAAUGUUAUAUAAGACUAAUUAUUUGGUCGGGUGAUUUUCUACAGUUGUUUUUUUCCAAGGAAAUGAGGACUUUAAUAAAUGACCUACUAUUGAGACAAGUUUCUAAUAUGAAAGUGCUACAAUAAAUUGCCAAAUAAGAGUAAUUCCCAAGUCGUUUGCUUGAUUUUUUGUAACUAUUUCCUUUCUAGACAAAGGAAAUUUUAACAAAUGCCCUAUGAUUGAGCUAACUUUUGAGAAAAAGAAAUUCCUUUAAAUAUAACAAUAAGUUAUCAAAGUUUUACAAGUAAUUGUCAUAUAAGACUAAUUAUUCAGUCCAGAUGGUUUUUUGUAACUGUUUUCUUUUGAUAAAUUGGAGACAUAAAUAAAAGACCUACUGUUAAGAUAAAUUCUGAGAAAAUGAAAUUUUUUUUAGUAUUAUAAUAUGAGGGUUCUUCCAUUAACUGCAAUACACAACUAAUUAACCAGUUUGUAACAUUUUUUUGUAAUUGUUUCCUUCUAAGAAAAUGGGGAUUGGAAUAAAUGACCAACUUUUGAGACAAAUUUCGAGAAAAAGAAGUUCCUUUUAAUAUAACAAUAAGUUAUCAAAGUUCUAACCUUGAUGGCUAAGACUUAAUACUCAUUAUAUAAGAUUUUUUUGUAAUAGUUUUUCUAUUUAUUUUACAUUGAAUUUAUGUCAUACAUAUGUACGUGUAUAUAUAUAUGUAUAGAUGUAUGUAUAUAUAUAUAUAUGUAAAUGUAUGUGUGUGUGUGUUGAUGUCAAAGUUCUACCUUCAAAUGCCAUGUAAGACAAAUUACUUGCUGGUCGGUAUGAUUUUUUAUAGUCGUUUCCUUCCGAGAAAAUGAGGACUUAAACUAUUGAGACAAAUUCCAUAAAAAAGGAAUUCCUUUUGAUUAAACAAUAAAUUAUUAAAGUUUUAAAAUUAGUUAUCGUCUAAGACUUUUUUUUUUGUUCGCUCAAACAAUAUAUGGUUUCAUUAAAUAAGAGUUACUACAGCUCACACAUUCCAGCUACCUAGAAUGGUACAAAAGAAACACCCACUGAAUUUCCCUCAUUUAAAGAGGAUAACAACAUCAAACAGAUUCCAUAUUCCCUGUAGUUAAUAGCUUGACAGCAACCUAAUAUUACAUAAAAAAUCAUAACAGAAAUACUAUCAAUAUUGGAAACAAAAGAAAAUCAUACACUUCGUAGUUGUAUUAACCCAACAACAUAAACCUUCAUCUCCUGCCAUCUCCCACUAGCCACAGCUUCUCCUACCAUAUAUUAGCAUUGAAUCAGAUUCUACCACCAAGGAUUUCCUCCCACACUACACUUCCUUUUUCUUACCUCCCCCUACACAGUACUGACCUUUUUUAUGCCUUGGCUCUUGCCGUUGCCUCCUUAGCCAUCUCCACUAGCAGCACGUCCUUUAUUUCUUUUGCACAUGAAGCCUAUUCUUUGGCCUAUACUGACCAUUUUUCAUUUCUUCUGGGCUUAUCCUUAUAUUACUCUCCUUUCAUGGGCCUACAUUUUUCUCAUCAUUAUUUUCCCCCUUUAUCCCCAAACUCUCUUCAUCUUUCUUCUUCUCAACCGGUUUCAAUCUUUCUCCCUCUAACACUAAUUAAUUACUUGGCCUAUAUGAUUUUUUGUAACCGCUUCUUUUGGAAAAAUUGAGUACUUGAAUAAGUGACCUACUGUUAAGACGAAUUAUGAGAAAAAGAAAUUUUUUUUAGUAUUACAAUAAAUUUGAGAGUUUUUACCAUUAAUUGCAAUACAAAACUAAUAAACCAGUCCGUAUGAUUUUUCGUAACUAUUUCCUUCCAAGAAAAUGGGGACUUGAAUAAAUGAUCUACUAUUGAGACAAAUUUCAAGAAAAAGGAAUUCCUUUUAAUAAAACAAUUAGUUAUCAAAGUCCUAACAUUUAUUGCAAAGACUAAAAGCUUGGUAUAUAUGAUUUUUUGUAAUAGUUUUUUUAUGAAGAAAAUGAAGCUUAGAUGAAUGACCUACUAUUAAGACAAAUUUCAAGAAAAAGAAAUUUCUUUCAGUAUAACAAUAAGUUAUUGUUGAGAAAAGAAAUAAGUUAUUAAAGUUUUAUUGUCAAUUACUAUUAAUGACUAAUUAUAAAUCAGUCUGCAUGAUUUUUUAUUAGAUUUAUGUCAAUUAUAUAUAUAUAUAUGUAUAUAUAUAAAUAUGUGUGUGUAGAGAUGUCAAUAAUUACCUUAUAUAUAUAUAUAUAUAUGAUUUUUUUUGUAAUAGUUUUUUUCCGUAGAAAAUGAAACAUAUAUAAUUGACCUAGUAUUAAGUGUGUGUAGACAUGUCAAUUCUUUUCUACUUUUGUAAAAAUGUAUUAUGAAUCCAAUGUAUUGUGUAGAGAUGUCAUUACACAGAUAUUUGGUGCAUCCAAUGUAAGUUUUCUCUGAGUUGAGCUGUAUAUGUUUACAUUGUCUGCUAAUUAUAAUGCAAAAAGGAUACUUAAGGAAAAUUUUACAUCUGUUUUCAUCAAUGCAGGAUCCCAUAAAAUACACUUUGACAGAUGCAAAAUUUGUAAGAAACAAUUCUUCGUAUGAUGAAAAUCUUGAAAAGGUAAAUGUACAUGUUGUAAAGUUUGUCCUACUACUUUCAAAUUGAGAGCAACUAAUGUCUAAAUAAGGUAUACAUGAUUGAUUACCUAGAAGAGAAAUUAAUGAAAAGAGACAUUUUGGAUUUUAUAAACCUGGUUCCCCUUGCUUUCUUAUCAUUCCAAACCUCACAUUCUAAGGAGAAGUUGAGAAAAAUCUUCCAAUGUCACCCAGUUAGGGCUAUUCUUUCCCUAGAUACUAUCAGCUUUCUCUAAACCAGAAGGAAGGCUUGCUCUCAGCCAUGGAAAAUACUUCCUCAGAAAAUGUUACCUUUUCAUUGUUGACAGGGGCUUGCCUGAUUUUUGCUACCUCUAGACUUGUUUCUUUUCAUUCAACCCUUCUCUUCAUGCUUCUCGUUUUAUUCCUUUUUGUUGUCAAAGCAAAGGGCAAAGCCAGCAAGAGAAAGAGCAACCAAGCACCUUUUCCUCCAGGCCCAACUCCCUGGCCAAUCAUUGGAAACCCUCCAGAGAUAUGGAGAAAGAGACCAGCCUUUCGGUGGAUUCAUGGCCUUAUGAAAGAACACCACACGGAUAUUCUUUGUGCCCCCCUUGCAAACUCUCAUGUCGUCGCUGUCACUUCGCCUGUCAUUGCUCCAGAGUUCUUGAAGAAAAAUGAUUCAGUUUUUGCAUCAAGGCCUGUUACGAUGGCAACUGAGUACUCCAGCCGAAGGUUCUUGACAAUAGCUGUUGUUCCGUGGGGAGAUCAAUGGAAGAAAAUGAGAAAGGUUGUGACCCUGGUUGAGAUCAUUUGAUUUGGAGGGCCAUGAGAAGACUGUCUGUAAGGCUAUGAAAAUUGUAAGUGAGUACCAGGAUCCCUUGAUUGACGAGAGGGUCCAAGAGUGGAGAGAAGGCAAGAGGACGGAGCCUGCAGACCUCCUUGAUGCCUUCAUUUUAGCCAAGGAUUCGAAUGGGAAGCCAUCUCUUUCAAUCGAAGAGAUUAAAGCCCAAUGUGCAGUGAGAUAAUCUAACCGUAGAUUCCUUUUCUGCCAUGUGUUUUUAGUCUAGUCAUAACAAAAAUUAAUUUGAUUAGUUCUAGUAAUAGUAACAAUAGUUAUCAUCAAAUUUGUGUUUGAUAUGUCUAUGAAUAUUUUGUUUAUGUAGGAGUUAAUGCUUGCAACCGUAGACAAUCCUUCAAAUGCUGUGGAAUGGGCAAUGGCAGAAAUGAUCAACCAACUUGAAACUCUCCUGAAAGCAGUCGAGGAGAUAGAUUCUUUGGUCGGAAAAGAGAGGCUGGUUCUAGAAGCUGACAUUUCCAAACUCAACUAUGUCAAAGCUUGUGCAAGAGAAGGCUUUCGUCUUCACCCAAUUGCACCCUUUAACCUACCCCAUGUCUCAACCGCCGACGCCACUGUUGCUGGCUACUUCAUCCCCAAAGGUAGUCACGUCUUGCUCAGUCUUUACGGACUAGGCCAGAACCCCAGGGUUUGGGAUGACCCAUUGAAGUUCAACCCUGAGCGCCAUUUGAAGGUUGGUUCCAUGCGCGUUGAUCUGACAGAGACAGACCUGAGGUUCAUUUCUUUCAGCACAGGGAGACGCGGGUGCAUGGGCGUGGCUCUUGGGACUGCAA